GACGAACGCUGGCGGCGUGCCUAAUACAUGCAAGUCGAGCGGACUGAAUGGGAGCUUGCUCUUGUCCGGUCAGCGGCGGACGGGUGAGUAACACGUGGGCAACCUGCCCGCAAGACCGGGAUAACUCCGGGAAACCGGAGCUAAUACCGGAUAACACCGAAGACCGCAUGGUCUUUGGUUGAAAGGCGGCGCAAGCUGCCACUUGCGGAUGGGCCCGCGGCGCAUUAGCUAGUUGGUGAGGUAACGGCUCACCAAGGCGACGAUGCGUAGCCGGCCUGAGAGGGUGACCGGCCACACUGGGACUGAGACACGGCCCAGACUCCUACGGGAGGCAGCAGUAGGGAAUCUUCCGCAAUGGGCGAAAGCCUGACGGAGCGACGCCGCGUGAGCGAAGAAGGCCUUCGGGUCGUAAAGCUCUGUUGUGAGGGACGAAGGAGCGCCGUUUGAAGAAGGCGGCGCGGUGACGGUACCUCACGAGGAAGCCCCGGCUAACUACGUG
RNAcentral lists this ribosomal RNA (499 nucleotides) under uncultured bacterium. Its description in RNAcentral is "partial 16S ribosomal RNA". It matches the Rfam family "Bacterial small subunit ribosomal RNA", at positions 28 to 507 of the family's 1533-position model. The record is from RNAcentral.